This 468-nucleotide ribosomal RNA is filed under the name uncultured bacterium. Its description in RNAcentral is "partial 16S ribosomal RNA". It matches the Rfam family "Bacterial small subunit ribosomal RNA", at positions 28 to 507 of the family's 1533-position model. The record is from RNAcentral.
GAUGAACGCUGGCGGCGUGCCUAAUACAUGCAAGUCGAACGGAAAGGCCCUGCUCUUGCUUGUCUCAUGAUUGGCGAACGGGUGAGUAACACGUGAGUAACCCGCCCUUGACUUUCGGAUAACUUCAGGAAACUGGGGCUAAUACCGGAUAGGAUCUUUUGCUGCACGGUGGGGGUUGGAAAGUUUCGGCGGUUGGGGAUGGACUGGCGGCUUAUCAGCUUGUUUGUGAGGUAGUUGCUUUCCAAGGCUUUGACGGGUAGCCGGCCUGAGAGGGUGACCGGCGUCAUUGGGACUGAGAUACGGAGCAGACUCCAACGGGAGGCAGCAGUGGAGAAUAUUGCGCAGUGACGGGAAGCCUGAUGCGGCAGCGCCGCGUGCGGGAUGACCGCCUUCGAGUUAUGAACAGAUUUCGCCUGAGACGAGGAGUGAGUGACGGUAAUGAGUAAGGAAGCACCGGCUAACUACGUG